RNAcentral lists this ribosomal RNA (605 nucleotides) under uncultured bacterium. RNAcentral's name for it is "bacterial SSU rRNA". The stretch from base 1 to 530 matches the Rfam family "Bacterial small subunit ribosomal RNA", at positions 338 to 873 of the family's 1533-position model. The record is from RNAcentral.
CCUACGGGAGGCAGCAGUAAGGAAUAUUGGUCAAUGGACGAAAGUCUGAACCAGCCAUGCCGCGUGAAGGAUUAAGGCCCUCUGGGUUGUAAACUUCUUUUAUCUGGGACGAAAAAAGGGUAUUCUUACUCACUUGACGGUACCAGAGGAAUAAGCACCGGCUAACUCCGUGCCAGCAGCCGCGGUAAUACGGAGGGUGCAAGCGUUAUCCGGAUUUACUGGGUUUAAAGGGUGCGUAGGUGGGCUUGUAAGUCAGUGGUGAAAUCUCCGGGCUUAACCCGGAAACUGCCAUUGAUACUAUAGGUCUUGAAUUAUCUGGAGGUAAGCGGAAUAUGUCAUGUAGCGGUGAAAUGCUUAGAUAUGACAUAGAACACCAAUUGCGAAGGCAGCUUACUACGGAUAUAUUGACACUGAGGCACGAAAGCGUGGGGAUCAAACAGGAUUAGAUACCCUGGUAGUCCACGCCCUAAACGAUGGAUACUCGACAUCAGCGAUACACUGUUGGUGUCUGAGNGAGANAUAUAUCCACCNGAGUACGANCGCAGAUAGAACGACAAGAGUAGUAGACGNGAGAGAGACGACGACGACGACGACGGAGGAGGAGG